GCGAACGGGUGAGUAACACGUGGGCAAUCUGCCCUGCACUCUGGGACAAGCCCUGGAAACGGGGUCUAAUACCGGAUAUGACCUUCCUCCGCAUGGGGGUUGGUGUAAAGCUCCGGCGGUGCAGGAUGAGCCCGCGGCCUAUCAGCUUGUUGGUGGGGUAAUGGCCUACCAAGGCGACGACGGGUAGCCGGCCUGAGAGGGCGACCGGCCACACUGGGACUGAGACACGGCCCAGACUCCUACGGGAGGCAGCAGUGGGGAAUAUUGCACAAUGGGCGAAAGCCUGAUGCAGCGACGCCGCGUGAGGGAUGACGGCCUUCGGGUUGUAAACCUCUUUCAGCAGGGAAGAAGCGCAAGUGACGGUACCUGCAGAAGAAGCACCGGCUAACUACGUGCCAGCAGCCGCGGUAAUACGUAGGGUGCGAGCGUUGUCCGGAAUUAUUGGGCGUAAAGAGCUCGUAGGCGGCCUGUCGCGUCGGAUGUGAAAGCCCGGGGCUUAACCCCGGGUCUGCAUUCGAUACGGGCAGGCUAGAGUGUGGUAGGGGAGAUCGGAAUUCCUGGUGUAGCGGUGAAAUGCGCAGAUAUCAGGAGGAACACCGGUGGCGAAGGCGGAUCUCUGGGCCAUUACUGACGCUGAAGAGCGAAAGCGUGGGGAGCGAACAGGAUUAGAUACCCUGGUAGUCCA
Molecule: ribosomal RNA, 685 nt
Filed under: Kitasatospora sp. HW_1_17
Lineage: Bacteria; Bacillati; Actinomycetota; Actinomycetes; Kitasatosporales; Streptomycetaceae
Description: bacterial SSU rRNA
Rfam family: Bacterial small subunit ribosomal RNA
Source: RNAcentral